This 370-nucleotide ribosomal RNA is filed under the name uncultured bacterium. RNAcentral describes it as "bacterial SSU rRNA". It matches the Rfam family "Bacterial small subunit ribosomal RNA", at positions 477 to 842 of the family's 1533-position model. The record is from RNAcentral.
ACCUCCACAAGAAGCCCCGGCCAACUACCUGCCAGCAGCCGCGGUAAUACGUAGGGGGCGAGCGUUGUCCGGAUUUAUUGGGCGUAAACAGCUCGUAGGCGGUUCAACAAGUCGGUCGUAAAAGUUCACGGCUCAACCCUGAAAUGUCGAUCGAUACUGUUGUGACUAUGAUACGGUAGAGGUGAGUGUAAUUCCUAGUGUAGCGGUGAAAUGCGUAGAUAUUCGGAGGAACACCAGUUGCGAAGGCAGCUCACUGGGCCGCUAUCGACGCUGAGGAGCGAAAGCUAGGGCAGCAAACAGGAUUAGAUACCCUGGUAGUCCUAGCUGUAAACGAUGGAUACUAGACGUAAGAACUGGAUUGACGGUUUCU